Diceros bicornis minor is the source of this 118-nucleotide long non-coding RNA. RefSeq lists it as uncharacterized. The transcript has 3 exons. NCBI's taxonomy places the organism in Eukaryota, Metazoa, Chordata, Mammalia, Perissodactyla, Rhinocerotidae. The record is from RefSeq and is a predicted model, not a curated record.
GGGACAGCCUCUACGUCAGUGGUUACACCUAUGGAGCCAUGGCCCCGACUACCACCAGCUUGCUCAUCCCUCUACUCACACAGUCACCAGUCCCCUAACUCUCAUUUAUGCUUCAUCU